CCAGACUCCUACGGGAGGCAGCAGUGGGGAAUAUUGGACAAUGGGGGGAACCCUGAUCCAGCGACGCCGCGUGAGUGAAGAAGUAUUUCGGUAUGUAAAGCUCUAUCAGCAGGGAAGAAAGAAAUGACGGUACCUGACUAAGAAGCCCCGGCUAACUACGUGCCAGCAGCCGCGGUAAUACGUAGGGGCAAGCGUUAUCCGGAUUUACUGGGUGUAAAGGGAGCGUAGACGGCGAUGCAAGCCAGAUGUGAAAGCCCGGGGCUCAACCCCGGGACUGCAUUUGGAACUGUGUGGCUGGAGUGUCGGAGAGGCAGGCGGAAUUCCUAGUGUAGCGGUGAAAUGCGUAGAUAUUAGGAGGAACACCAGUGGCGAAGGCGGCCUGCUGGACGAUGACUGACGUUGAGGCUCGAAAGCGUGGGGAGCAAACAGGAUUAGAUACCCUUGUAC
This 447-nucleotide ribosomal RNA is filed under the name uncultured bacterium. RNAcentral's name for it is "bacterial SSU rRNA". It matches the Rfam family "Bacterial small subunit ribosomal RNA", at positions 331 to 793 of the family's 1533-position model. The record is from RNAcentral.